GACGAACGCUGGCGGCGUGCUUAAUACAUGCAAGUCGAACGGAAAGGCCUGUGUUGGGGGGUCCUCGAGAGGCGAACGGGUGUGUAAAACGUGUGUAAACUGUCCUUGAUAUCGGGAUAAAACCAGGAAAAUGGGGCUCAAACAGGGCAGGAGCGUCUGCUGCAUGGUAGGGGUUGGUAAGAUUCGGCAGUUGGGGAUAGACUCGCGGAUUAUCAGCUUGUUGGUGGGGUAGUGGCUUACCAAGUCACUGACGGGUAGCCGACAUGGGAGGGUGACCGGCGACAUUGGGACUGAGAUACGGACCAGACUCCUACGGGAGGCAACGGUGGGAAAUCUUGCACAACGAGUCGAAGCCAGAUGCAACAACUCCGUGAGCGGGAUGACGUCCUUCGGGUUGAGAACCGCUUUCGCUCAUGACAGAGCUUUGUGUGACGGUAGUGGAUAAGAAAGCAACGGCUAACUACGUG
Molecule: ribosomal RNA, 467 nt
Filed under: uncultured bacterium
Lineage: Bacteria
Description: partial 16S ribosomal RNA
Rfam family: Bacterial small subunit ribosomal RNA
Source: RNAcentral